Molecule: ribosomal RNA, 253 nt
Filed under: uncultured bacterium
Lineage: Bacteria
Description: partial 16S ribosomal RNA
Rfam family: Bacterial small subunit ribosomal RNA
Source: RNAcentral
UACGUAGGGUGCGAGCGUUAAUCGGAAUUAUUGGGCGUAAAGCGCGCGCAGGCGGUCUUUUAAGUCUGAUGUGAAAGCCCACGGCUCAACCGUGGAGGGUCAUUGGAAACUGGGAGACUUGAGUGCAGAAGAGAAGAGUGGAAUUCCACGUGUAGCGGUGAAAUGCGUAGAGAUGUGGAGGAACACCAGUGGCGAAGGCGACUCUUUGGUCUGUAACUGACGCUGAGGCGCGAAAGCGUGGGGAGCAAACAGG